CUCUGGCCAAAGACUCUCAGAGUCACCAUCCUAUGAGAUCACAUAGGAUGUUCUCUCCUCCUACAAGGAGUGACCGAUUCUUUAUUGACCACUCACACCUCCAUACGUACUUCACCCCAUAUCCAGAAUAUCCCACACACAUCUCAAAGUGGUGUGCUAGGAAAUAAACCAAAGUAAGGGUUUAUGUACACAAGGUACCACAAUAAUCUCAGGUCAAAAGAUCACAUACACCACUC
Molecule: long non-coding RNA, 236 nt
Filed under: Elaeis guineensis (African oil palm)
Lineage: Eukaryota; Viridiplantae; Streptophyta; Magnoliopsida; Arecales; Arecaceae
Description: long non-coding RNA (EGUI_LNC082422)
Source: RNAcentral